GGAGGGGUCGGAUAGUGGUUUAUUCCGCACGCUUGGAAAGCGUGUGCCUUCGGGCAUCGUGGGUUCGAAUCCCACCCCCUCCGCCA
Molecule: transfer RNA, 86 nt
Filed under: Patescibacteria group bacterium
Lineage: Bacteria
Also listed under: 1 other name
Description: tRNA-Ser
Rfam family: tRNA
About the family: Transfer RNA (tRNA) molecules are approximately 80 nucleotides in length.
Source: RNAcentral